Non-coding RNA from Mycena epipterygia, 93 nucleotides. The record is from the annotation of a GenBank genome assembly. Lineage: Eukaryota; Fungi; Basidiomycota; Agaricomycetes; Agaricales; Mycenaceae.
GCGCCGUUGGUGUAGCGGUAACACACAAUCUGAAUUUAGAGGAAAUAAGUGGAAAUUGAGGUUGAGUCCUGGGUUCGAAUCCCGGACGGCGUA